UACGGAGGAUGCGAGCGUUAUCCGGAUUUAUUGGGUUUAAAGGGUGCGUAGGCGGAUCGUUAAGUCAGUGGUCAAAUUGAGGGGCUCAACCCCUUCCCGCCAUUGAAACUGGCGAUCUUGAGUGGAAGAGAAGUAUGCGGAAUGCGUGGUGUAGCGGUGAGAUGCAUAGAUAUCACGCAGAACCCCGAUUGCGAAGGCAGCAUGCCGGCUUCCUACUGACGCUGAAGCACGAAAGCGAGGGGAUCGAACAGG
Molecule: ribosomal RNA, 252 nt
Filed under: uncultured bacterium
Lineage: Bacteria
Description: partial 16S ribosomal RNA
Rfam family: Bacterial small subunit ribosomal RNA
Source: RNAcentral